This 393-nucleotide ribosomal RNA is filed under the name uncultured bacterium. RNAcentral describes it as "partial 16S ribosomal RNA". It matches the Rfam family "Bacterial small subunit ribosomal RNA", at positions 523 to 918 of the family's 1533-position model. The record is from RNAcentral.
AUACGGAGGAUCCGAGCGUUAUCCGGAUUUAUUGGGUUUAAAGGGUGCGCAGGCGGGAGGUUAAGUCGGCGGGGACAUUUUUGCGGCCAACUGGAAAAAGGGCUUCGGAACAGGGUUCCUUGGGGGUAGUUGGAGUAAGGGGGAUUUUGUGGGGUAGGGGUGAAUGCAUAGAUUUUACGAGGAAAUCCGAUUGCGCAGGCAGCUUACUAAACUACUACUGACGCUCAGGCUCGAAGGCGUGGGGAUCAAACAGGAUUAGAUACCCUGGUAGUCCACGCAGUAAACGAUGAAUACUAGUUGUCUGCGAUAUAUUGUAGGUGACACAGCGAAAGCGUUAAGUAUUCCACCUGGGGAGUACGUUCGCAAGAAUGAAACUCAAAGGAAUUGACGGGG